CAGCAGCCACGGGAAUACGUAGGUGGCAAGCGUUGUCCGGAAUUAUUGGGCGUAAAGCGCGCGCAGGUGGUUUAAUAAGUCUGAUGUGAAAGCCCACGGCUCAACCGUGGAGGGUCAUUGGAAACUGUUAAACUUGAGUGCAGGAGAGAAAAGUGGAAUUCCUAGUGUAGCGGUGAAAUGCGUAGAUAUUAGGAAGAACACCAGUGGCGAAGGCGGCUUUUUGGACGAAAACUGACGCUGAGGCGCGAAAGCCAGGGGAGCGAACGGGAUUAGAUACCCGGGUAGUCCCUGUCUCUUAUAC
Molecule: ribosomal RNA, 301 nt
Filed under: uncultured bacterium
Lineage: Bacteria
Description: partial 16S ribosomal RNA
Rfam family: Bacterial small subunit ribosomal RNA
Source: RNAcentral